RNAcentral lists this ribosomal RNA (513 nucleotides) under bacterium enrichment culture clone ALO1_GLFRUDD03G5TGN. RNAcentral's name for it is "bacterial SSU rRNA". It matches the Rfam family "Bacterial small subunit ribosomal RNA", at positions 9 to 517 of the family's 1533-position model. The record is from RNAcentral.
GAGUUUGAUCCUGGCUCAGAUUGAACGCUGGCGGCAGGCCUAACACAUGCAAGUCGAGCGGAUGACGGGAGCUUGCUCCUUGAUUCAGCGGCGGACGGGUGAGUAAUGCCUGGGAAUCUGCCUGGUAGUGGGGGACAACGUUUCGAAAGGAACGCUAAUACCGCAUACGUCCUACGGGAGAAAGCAGGGGACCUUCGGGCCUUGCGCUAUCAGAUGAGCCUAGGUCGGAUUAGCUAGUUGGUGGGGUAAUGGCUCACCAAGGCGACGAUCCGUAACUGGUCUGAGAGGAUGAUCAGUCACACUGGAACUGAGACACGGUCCAGACUCCUACGGGAGGCAGCAGUGGGGAAUAUUGGACAAUGGGCGAAAGCCUGAUCCAGCCAUGCCGCGUGUGUGAAGAAGGUCUUCGGAUUGUAAAGCACUUUAAGUUGGGAGGAAGGGCAGUAAGUUAAUACCUUGCUGUUUUGACGUUACCGACAGAAUAAGCACCGGCUAACUCUGUGCCAGCAGCCG